AUUGAACGCUGGCGGCGUGCCUUACACAUGCAAGUCGAACGGCAGCACGAGUGGUUUCCCCUUGUGAUGAUUGGCGCACGGGGGUGUGUUACAUCGGGACAUGUCCUGUAUUAGGGUGUAGCCCGUCCGAAACCGGGUUAAUACCGCCUGCUAACUACGUAAGAAACCGGGGUCCAUUCUGGCAGCGCGCCAUACGGUCACCCGAAGGUUGAUUAGCUAGUUGGUGGGGUAAAGGCCUACCAAGGCGACGAUCAGGAGCUGGUCUGAGAGGGAGACCAGCCACACUGGAACUGAGACACGGCCCAGACUCCUACGGGAGGCAGCAGUGGGGAAUUUUGCACAAUGGGCGAAGGCCUGACCCAGCAAUGCCGCGUGUGUGAAGAAGGUCUUCGGGUUGUAAAGCACUUUUGUCAGGAAAGAAAUUCUUUGUACUAAACUGGUCGCGGGAUGACGGUACCGGAAGAGUAAGCAACGGCUAACUACGUG
RNAcentral lists this ribosomal RNA (486 nucleotides) under uncultured bacterium. RNAcentral describes it as "partial 16S ribosomal RNA". It matches the Rfam family "Bacterial small subunit ribosomal RNA", at positions 30 to 507 of the family's 1533-position model. The record is from RNAcentral.